This 468-nucleotide ribosomal RNA is filed under the name uncultured bacterium. RNAcentral describes it as "partial 16S ribosomal RNA". It matches the Rfam family "Bacterial small subunit ribosomal RNA", at positions 28 to 507 of the family's 1533-position model. The record is from RNAcentral.
GACGGACGCUGGCGGCGUGCUUAACACAUGCAAGUCGAACGGAAAGGCCCUGCUUUUGUGGGGUGCUCGAGUGGCGAACGGGUGAGUAACACGUGAGUAACCUGCCCUUGACUUUGGGAUAACUUCAGGAAACUGGGGCUAAUACCGGAUAGGAGCUCCUGCUGCAUGGUGGGGGUUGGAAGGUUUCGGCGGUUGGGGAUGGACUCGCGGCUUAUCAGCUUGUUGGUGGGGUAGUGGCUUACCAAGGCUUUGACGGGUAGCCGGCCUGAGAGGGUGACCGGCCACAUUGGGACUGAGGGACGGACCAGACUCCUACGGGAGGCAAUAGUGGGGAAUAUUGCACAAUGGGCGGGAGCCUGAUGCAGCAACGCCGCGUGCGGGAUGACGGCCUUCGGGUUGUAAACCGCUUUCGCCUGUGACGAAGCGUGAGUGACGGUAAUGGGUAAAGAAGCACCGGCUAACUACGUG